Long non-coding RNA from Mustela lutreola (European mink), 578 nucleotides. RefSeq lists it as uncharacterized. The transcript has 2 exons. The record is from RefSeq and is a predicted model, not a curated record. NCBI's taxonomy places the organism in Eukaryota, Metazoa, Chordata, Mammalia, Carnivora, Mustelidae.
GGAAGAAGCCGCGCGUGGCCGAGCGCGCGGUAGGGGCUGGUAAUACGCACGCGCAGGGGCUUUCCCGCGCUUGCGCGGGUUGAGCCGCUGUCGCGCUACGCCCCGGAACGGCUGGAACGGCGCAGACUACCGUUAGCCACGGCGCCGGCGUCUUCCCCGGCUCGCGUCGCAGCCGGCGGGCUUGGCAGGCCCCGUUUUCCGCUGGGCCAGGGCUCUGGGGAGUUCCUUCCCGCGGGGCUGCGGUGAGAAGACUACGAGAGAGAAAUCACAAGAAGAUGGAGAGGCAGGCAGAGAGAGACAGAGGGAAGCAGGCUCCCCGCUGAGCAGAGAGCCCGAUGCGGGACUCGAUCCCAGCACCCUGAGAUCAUGACCUGAGCUGAAGGCAGUGGCUCAACCCACUGGGCCACCCAGGUGCCCCUGAACAUAUUUUUAAAGGCAGAUUAUAAAAUAAUAUGUAUAUGCCAGUUGUGAAAAAAAAAUGUGUAUAUAUAUUCUCAGAGGCAACUGCUGUCUGUCCAGUGUUUUGUGUGUCUUUUCAGAAAUAAAUUGUGUACUCACAAGCACAUUUAUAUAAUCAA